AGGAAUUCUUCAAGGCGUCUAUUGGGGCCUGGGAACUGGUACCGGUGCUAUCGUUGGCGGGUUUAUGGUUCAUCACGUGGGCGGUGAUAUCACAUUCCGUGCAUUCUCAUUGGCUACUGCGGCCGUGUUCUCGCUGUUUGUCCUGGUUCAGCUGGUUUUACGUUAUGCAGGUCGUGAUGCUUUAGAUUACCACAAGAUACCAUGCGAGGCUGAUGAAGGAAACUUGUUAACUGACGAAGGUAGUGAAGAGGAAGGCAGUGAUAGCUAUUACGAUACAGACGAUAGAGAUGAAGACUAAUGUAUAGGUUUAUUUAAAGUGCAUCUAACCUCAAUUCUUCGAACAUCUCAUUCCUAAGAACCUUUGAAAUGAUCUGGUAACUUAUUUUUAUGUUUUCGUUUGCACACUUUGUCUCUGAGUUAUUUCAUGAAAUAAAAAGGGUAAAUGGUGUUUUGCAUAGUUAUGUAAUUCUCCAAAAACUGCAAACAUUUUAAUAAAUUAAACUUGAUACGAUAUCCAAGCUUUUACUUUAAGUUAUUAUGCAAUUGUGACGUAAAUUCCGGGUAUUUGCAUACCAAACAAACUGAAAUAUCUCAAACAAAGGGAGCAAAUGAAUAUCUUCAAAAUAAGUUAUUUUAUUUUUUUAUUUGUGCAUGCCUAGUGAUAUUUUUUGAUUUCCUGCAAUCUGAUUGGCUGCAGCAGCAGGCAGCUUUUUACGAUAUCUUGACCGUGGUGCAAAAGAGUUAUUUUUUCGCGAAAAACCGAGGAGUAAAGACAAUUUUCAAACUCAAAACACUACCCAAAAAGUUUAAAAAUUCACUCUAUCGAAACUAAAGACAGUAAAAUACAGUGAAUUGGCUUCAAUGGACUCAUAGUGCCAAGCCCGAAAUGUACUUUUCUCCGACCAAACUGCGAAAAAAAGAAAUGUAAACAUCGAAAAACACUUGCCAGUGCUACAAGUUUUGAUUCAAAUGUUCCACAUAUAUUCAGCUUUUCUUAAAAAAUAUAUGCUUGCCCGAAGGGGACAAAAUUACGAACAUGUACAUAUCAUUUCCAUUACGCAAAUAUCAUUUCCAUAUGUCCAAAUAUCAGUUUCAAUCCAAAUUCGUCGAAGUUGAGAAAAAA
This is a non-coding RNA of Paramuricea clavata, 1123 nucleotides long. The record is from the annotation of a GenBank genome assembly. NCBI's taxonomy places the organism in Eukaryota, Metazoa, Cnidaria, Anthozoa, Malacalcyonacea, Plexauridae.